AAUUCUCAACUCCUUCAGCUUUUUGUAGUUGAAGUGAGCUUGGAUAUGGAGGUUUUGCGGGUUCAAUCUAAUUGGAUCGGCUCCUCUGAAAUGCAUUAGCGGAACCGUUUGCGAUCCGUCACAGGUGUGAUAAUUAUCUACGCCUAGUGGGUUGCUCUCUGUCUUGUUCAGCUGCCAACCGUCCCAGUCAUGGGACAACAUCAUUACUGAAC
Molecule: unclassified non-coding RNA, 212 nt
Filed under: uncultured Leucocoprinus
Lineage: Eukaryota; Fungi; Basidiomycota; Agaricomycetes; Agaricales; Agaricaceae
Description: sequence contains ITS2
Source: RNAcentral